RNAcentral lists this ribosomal RNA (1089 nucleotides) under Latilactobacillus sakei. RNAcentral describes it as "bacterial SSU rRNA". It matches the Rfam family "Bacterial small subunit ribosomal RNA", at positions 48 to 1094 of the family's 1533-position model. Lineage: Bacteria; Bacillati; Bacillota; Bacilli; Lactobacillales; Lactobacillaceae. The record is from RNAcentral.
GCUAUACAUGCAAGUCGAACGCACUCUCGUUUAGAUUGAAGGAGCUUGCUCCUGAUUGAUAAACAUUUGAGUGAGUGGCGGACGGGUGAGUAACACGUGGGUAACCUGCCCUAAAGUGGGGGAUAACAUUUGGAAACAGAUGCUAAUACCGCAUAAAACCUAACACCGCAUGGUGUAGGGUUGAAAGAUGGUUUCGGCUAUCACUUUAGGAUGGACCCGCGGUGCAUUAGUUAGUUGGUGAGGUAAAGGCUCACCAAGACCGUGAUGCAUAGCCGACCUGAGAGGGUAAUCGGCCACACUGGGACUGAGACACGGCCCAGACUCCUACGGGAGGCAGCAGUAGGGAAUCUUCCACAAUGGACGAAAGUCUGAUGGAGCAACGCCGCGUGAGUGAAGAAGGUUUUCGGAUCGUAAAACUCUGUUGUUGGAGAAGAAUGUAUCUGAUAGUAACUGAUCAGGUAGUGACGGUAUCCAACCAGAAAGCCACGGCUAACUACGUGCCAGCAGCCGCGGUAAUACGUAGGUGGCAAGCGUUGUCCGGAUUUAUUGGGCGUAAAGCGAGCGCAGGCGGUUUCUUAAGUCUGAUGUGAAAGCCUUCGGCUCAACCGAAGAAGUGCAUCGGAAACUGGGAAACUUGAGUGCAGAAGAGGACAGUGGAACUCCAUGUGUAGCGGUGAAAUGCGUAGAUAUAUGGAAGAACACCAGUGGCGAAGGCGGCUGUCUGGUCUGUAACUGACGCUGAGGCUCGAAAGCAUGGGUAGCAAACAGGAUUAGAUACCCUGGUAGUCCAUGCCGUAAACGAUGAGUGCUAGGUGUUGGAAGGGUUUCCGCCCUUCAGUGCCGCAGCUAACGCAUUAAGCACUCCGCCUGGGGAGUACGACCGCAAGGUUGAAACUCAAAGGAAUUGACGGGGGCCCGCACAAGCGGUGGAGCAUGUGGUUUAAUUCGAAGCAACGCGAAGAACCUUACCAGGUCUUGACAUCCUUUGACCACUCUAGAAAUAGAGCUUUCCCUUCGGGGACAAAGUGACAGGUGGUGCAUGGUUGUCGUCACCUCCGGUCCUGAGAUGUUGGGUUAAGUCCCGCAACG